AUACAUGACAGCAGAAUGAAUUUCAAUUAAAAUUGGAAUAAUACAGAGAAGAUUAGCAUGCCCCUGCGCAAGGAUGAAAAUGCUUUUAAUACACCUAACCUAAUGAA
Ictidomys tridecemlineatus (thirteen-lined ground squirrel) is the source of this 107-nucleotide small nuclear RNA. The record is from Ensembl. Lineage: Eukaryota; Metazoa; Chordata; Mammalia; Rodentia; Sciuridae.